RNAcentral lists this long non-coding RNA (287 nucleotides) under Carica papaya (papaya). RNAcentral describes it as "long non-coding RNA (CPAP_LNC006171)". Lineage: Eukaryota; Viridiplantae; Streptophyta; Magnoliopsida; Brassicales; Caricaceae. The record is from RNAcentral.
UGACGUAUGUUUGGUUGUCUGUAUUAACAUACUUUUUUCUUAACAAAUAAAUGGUCUUUCAUAAUGUGAGAUAGGUAAAUGAAGAGGUUAAAUGGUAAGUUCUUCAGUAAAAAUAAUUAGCUUUUGAAAUCUUACGAUGUUAAUUUUUCUUUAUGAGCAUAUGAAACUUACUCUUUCCAUGCCCCCCCAUCCAGAUGAGGAAAAAAAUGAGGAAUUGCAGGCUGACCUACACUUGGAAGUCUAUGAGGAUCCCGUUGAUCCACAAGUAUGAGUGCAUGAUUGUUCCU